RNAcentral lists this ribosomal RNA (484 nucleotides) under uncultured bacterium. Its description in RNAcentral is "partial 16S ribosomal RNA". It matches the Rfam family "Bacterial small subunit ribosomal RNA", at positions 30 to 507 of the family's 1533-position model. The record is from RNAcentral.
AUUGAACGCUGGCGGCAGGCCUAACACAUGCAAGUCGAGCGGAUGAAGGGAGCUUGCUCCUGGAUUCAGCGGCGGACGGGUGAGUAAUGCCUAGGAAUCUGCCUGGUAUUGGGGGAUAACGUCCGGAAACGGGCGCUAAUACCGCAUACGUCCUGAUGGAGAAAGUGGGGGAUCUUCGGACCUCACGCUAUCAGAUGAGCCUAGGUCGGAUUAGCUAGUUGGUGGGGUAAAGGCCUACCAAGGCGACGAUCCGUAACUGGUCUGAGAGGAUGAUCAGUCACACUGGAACUGAGACACGGUCCAGACUCCUACGGGAGGCAGCAGUGGGGAAUAUUGGACAAUGGGCGAAAGCCUGAUCCAGCCAUGCCGCGUGUGUGAAGAAGGUCUUCGGAUUGUAAAGCACUUUAAGUUGGGAGGAAGGGAAGUAAGUUAAUACCUGGCUGUUUUGACGUUACCAAAAGAGUAAGCACCGGCUAACUUCGUG